AGAUUGGUUCAAAAUAUGACCUGGUCGCCACUUUCGGACCGGUCGCUCCAGAUGGCUAUGGAAUUUGUUACAAUCCUCAGAGUAAUUGUGUACGAUAUUCUAUCACGGCGUUCAACAGCAACGCACAAACUGACGCCGUGAAAAUGGGUGAAGCUGUUCAACAAAGUUUUGAUCAAAUUGGAAUGAUUUUAUCGUCAGCACAUCUCUGAGUGGAACGUAUGUAUAUACUGUAGUUAGGUUGUGAAAAGGAUAUAGUAUAUGGUUGCAAUUAAGUCUCUGCAAUUAAGUAAAUUGAAAUGGAAAAUAUUGAUAUGUUCGGAAACUGAAUGUAAAUUUCUAGUUUGGGGAAUAUUAAGAGGCAAUUUAUUUCCAUGUCGCGGAUUUGCGACGAAAAGCUUUCAAAACCUUCUUGACGUAUUUCUUUUUUUGAACAGCCGAGCCCAAGAAUUUCAGGUUAAUAAGCCACCUAACAUAAUAUCUGCAAUGAUCUAGCUAUAGCCUAGUAUAGGUAUGUUUAUUUUCUCCUUAGAAUAUAUUUCCUUUACCACGCAUUAAUUUGUAAAAUAAUAAAAACACUGCAUUUGUUUCAUCCACAAUUUUUUUUCAUAUUAUAAAAACAACACGUCACACACACCCCUGUUCAAAUCCUCAACGGGAAUUGGUAGUAAAAUACCUAUGAAAACCGAUUCUUUAAGGAGUAAAAAACUACCCCCAUUGAAGUAUUGAUCUUACAUAAACUUUAAUUUCCGGGCUUUUUACUGUUGGUAAAUGCAUAUAUGAGCAUGUCAAAAAUUUCCUUAAUGUAUUGCUAGCUUUGAUCAGAGUGAGGGAAUGUUAUUUCUUUUCAUUUUUAUAGUCUGUAGUAUAGUCCUGUUUUAAAUAGAUAUAAUUGAGAGAUGAAGUCACUAUACUCUGUGCUUCAAUUUUCUUUACUCGUUACUUUUCU
Paramuricea clavata is the source of this 946-nucleotide non-coding RNA. NCBI's taxonomy places the organism in Eukaryota, Metazoa, Cnidaria, Anthozoa, Malacalcyonacea, Plexauridae. The record is from the annotation of a GenBank genome assembly.